GACGAACGCUGGCGGCGUGCUUAACACAUGCAAGUCGAACGGAAAGGCCUUUUCGGAGGUACUCGAGUGGCGAACGGGUGAGUAACACGUGGGUGAUCUGCCCUGCACUCUGGGAUAAGCCUGGGAAACUGGGUCUAAUACCGGAUAGGACCGCACUUUAGUGUGUGUGGUGGAAAGUUUUUUCGGUGUAGGAUGAGCCCGCGGCCUAUCAGCUUGUUGGUGGGGUAAUGGCCUACCAAGGCGGCGACGGGUAGCCGGACUGAGAGGUUGGUCGGCCACAUUGGGACUGAGAUACGGCCCAGACUCCUACGGGAGGCAGCAGUGGGGAAUAUUGCACAAUGGGCGCAAGCCUGAUGCAGCGACGCCGCGUGGGGGAGGACGGCCUUCGGGUUGUAAACUCCUUUCGCCAGGCACGAAGCGUUUUGUGACGGUACCUGGAGAAGAAGCACCGGCUAACUACGUG
Molecule: ribosomal RNA, 463 nt
Filed under: uncultured bacterium
Lineage: Bacteria
Description: partial 16S ribosomal RNA
Rfam family: Bacterial small subunit ribosomal RNA
Source: RNAcentral